RNAcentral lists this ribosomal RNA (460 nucleotides) under uncultured bacterium. Its description in RNAcentral is "partial 16S ribosomal RNA". It matches the Rfam family "Bacterial small subunit ribosomal RNA", at positions 338 to 795 of the family's 1533-position model. The record is from RNAcentral.
CCUACGGGUGGCAGCAGUGAGGAAUAUUGGUCAAUGGACGAGAGUCUGAACCAGCCAAGUAGCGUGAAGGAUGACGGCCCUAUGGGUUGUAAACUUCUUUUAUAGGGGAAUAAAAUCUUCCACGUGUGGGCUUUUGUGUGUACCCUAUGAAUAAGGAUCGGCUAACUCCGUGCCAGCAGCCGCGGUAAUACGGAGGAUCCGAGCGUUAUCCGGAUUUAUUGGGUUUAAAGGGUGCGUAGGUGGAUUGUUAAGUCAGUUGUGAAAGUUUGCGGCUCAACCGUAAAAUUGCAGUUGAAACUGGCAGUCGUGAGUGGAGUAGAGGUAGGCGGAAUUCGUGGUGUAGCGGUGAAAUGCUUAGAUAUCACGCAGAACUCCGAUUGCGAAGGCAGUACACUGGACUGCAACUGACACUGAGGCACGAAAGUGUGGGUAUCAAACAGGAUUAGAUACCCGAGUAGUC